Molecule: long non-coding RNA, 182 nt
Organism: Perognathus longimembris pacificus (Pacific pocket mouse)
Lineage: Eukaryota; Metazoa; Chordata; Mammalia; Rodentia; Heteromyidae
Exons: 3
Source: RefSeq, a predicted model, not a curated record
UGUCAUUGCUGCUUUUUUAAGGUGGAUGUUGAGCUGAGGACAGAUUGUUGCCUUUUUUCUUUCUAAUGUACAGAAAAAUGCUAAUGAUACAGUUGUGAAAUGUGAAGUUGUUAAUCUAGUAAAUAAAAAGUUAAUCCAUUUUGGACUGUCUUGUGUUAUGUAUUGUUUUCUUCUUGGGAGAG